CUCCACAACCUGCGGGCUACGAGAUGUUCCGGCUGAUAUAAUGAGGCUGUACAUCAUCCACUGGACAGAGAGGAGCGAGGGACUGUUCAGCCUGGAGGCCUACACUGUGGACCAGAAGCGGAGGGUGCACCAGUGUCCUCCGUGACAACAUCGACAAGCAGCUGGGCCUCAAACACAUAUCCGAACGCGACGAGGAGCCUAUAGAUGACGUCCAGUGUGACCUGGGGGUCCUCAGUCUGGGCCAGCAGGACUCCCUGUACAGCCACUCUCCAGAGAGACCCCCCUACAGCUGCUCCCCCGAGCCCUACGGGGUAGUCCCGGGCCUGGGGCAGGA
Hypomesus transpacificus is the source of this 334-nucleotide long non-coding RNA. RefSeq lists it as uncharacterized. The transcript is spliced from 4 exons. The record is from RefSeq and is a predicted model, not a curated record. Lineage: Eukaryota; Metazoa; Chordata; Actinopteri; Osmeriformes; Osmeridae.